Solea solea (common sole) is the source of this 355-nucleotide long non-coding RNA. RefSeq lists it as uncharacterized. The record is from RefSeq and is a predicted model, not a curated record. Lineage: Eukaryota; Metazoa; Chordata; Actinopteri; Pleuronectiformes; Soleidae. The transcript is spliced from 3 exons.
CCGACCAACAGCAGCCCGCAGGCGCCGAAUAUGGACGAGAGCAGCGUCAGAGCUCUCGUACUGAACGAACUCAUCUGUGGAAGAAGAGCAAGAAAAUAAAGAAAAUGAGCAGAGGACGAGGAAGAAAAAGAAGGAGAGAAGGUGGAGGAAGAGGAGAGCAACCUUCAAUAAAGUAACAUGCAGUACAGCUAGAUGGUCCCUAGGUGACAGAAGUGCUGCCUCUGCUGCACUGACACAUCAACAUCUUACACAAACACACAAAAUGGACGUCACAGAAGCGUUGGCGAUUGGACUGUGGACCCCCCAAAAGCUGCUACGCUAACACACACCGUCUGGUUUUAUUAGACUUGUGGGG